CAUACAAUUAAGAUUCCAACCACACAAUUGGUUAAACUUUGCUAUGUUUAAUUAUGAAGCAACUAAUAUUUUAAACAACAAACAAUGUGAAACAGAUCACUUUAUGAUUAUUUUAUGUGCUUACUUCCCAAUAUUUCAUUCUGACAGGUAUAGUAAACACAUGCAAGAAAAAGUUUUAGCAACCCUACGUUUUAUUGAUAUUACAUUGAAAAUAAAAAUUUCCCAUUGUGCUCCAAUAAGUUGCAAGAACAGGCGAUGAGAUACUGCAGCUUUGAAAUUGGAUGGGCUAUUAAAUCACAUGCAUUAAAUUUAUAAGCAGAAAUACAACGGCAGUCUGGUUUUUGUGGUGUUGGAAGAGCUAAAAAUUUAGCAAACUUAACAAGAAUCAAAGAGUUCAUCAGAGUUACAAACCAUGGAGAAUACAAAUUCUAGGCCUUCUACCAUUAAGUGAUGAGACUGCAAAUCCACAAUUUCACAAGGUACUAUUGACUAAACAUAGAUGGGGGAGGGGAGGAACAGGAUGAUGAUCUCAAAACAUACAUGAUCAAGCUCUCCCAGUUCAAUUUAUGUUCACACCAAAUAAAAAUUUAUUAAUUAACAUAGCACCAUAAGAUAAGAAAGUCACGUAGGGCAAAUAUAUUUAUAACAAUUUCACACAUUCAUUGAAAAUAUAUAAACAAACUCAACAAUGUCAUAUUUUCA
RNAcentral lists this unclassified non-coding RNA (702 nucleotides) under Hevea brasiliensis (rubber tree). The record is from RNAcentral. Lineage: Eukaryota; Viridiplantae; Streptophyta; Magnoliopsida; Malpighiales; Euphorbiaceae.